Molecule: long non-coding RNA, 795 nt
Organism: Cephus cinctus (wheat stem sawfly)
Lineage: Eukaryota; Metazoa; Arthropoda; Insecta; Hymenoptera; Cephidae
Exons: 2
Source: RefSeq, a predicted model, not a curated record
AAAAAAUGUGCAUCUCUUCUUUCUUGGCAAUUAAAAAAAAAUACAAUCAAUUCAACCACUCAGGAACAAUGACUUAACACACGUGUAUGAGCGCCAUAUACAAUUACGCAUACAGUACAUAUAAGUGAUUAGGUACCGUGAAUAAAAUUAUCAAGUAUUUAGAACAAUGUUCAUUAAUUAAUUAAAUAUAAACAGUUUAAUCGCCAACUGUACAACUCUCAACAUAAUACAAACCACCAGAAUUUUUAAGACAGUUUAUACUCCUCACGAAUUCUACAGAAAUUUAUUGUUGAGAAUACCCAAGAGUAAUAUCUCUACCCACAAGCUGAUCUCUGCUGCUAGCAUUCUAUUCUCAUGAACAUCGAAACUUAUGUCUUGCGUCAGAUCGAGGGCAGUAUAUUCUCAUAAAUUUUUCUUACCUAUUUACUCAACACCAUGAACCAGGCUCGAAAUAAAGGCCGAGUUCAGAGUGCCAACAUCAUGACACGUUGAACAAAUCGUAUCCAAUAAAUCUCAGGACGGACUUGGCUCUGAAAACGAUUAGUCAACCAUAUCAUAGAUCUUCAUCCAGCCAAGUUCCAUCGGACACCACAAAUUCACUUUCAACGAUUUUCGCUAUGGCUCAAGAGAGAAACGUGAAACCUACUGGAAUCCUUGUCAGACCCCAGAACGAAUUCAGCUUCUAUAUAAGAAAUGUCGGAAAUCGGUUAGGGCCUACCCAAGAUGGUAGUCAAAGAGAAACAGGCAGCUAGAGCUUUAUGAUGAUUGCGCAACAAUAAAUUGAUAUUGUAUUUA